Molecule: long non-coding RNA, 254 nt
Filed under: Sorghum bicolor (sorghum)
Lineage: Eukaryota; Viridiplantae; Streptophyta; Magnoliopsida; Poales; Poaceae
Description: long non-coding RNA (SBIC_LNC006146)
Source: RNAcentral
CAGGGUAAGUUAUUUUUCAUUUAAAUUCUGUUAAUUUUCUGUUAUUUUUCAUUUAAAUUCUAUUAAUUUUUCCUCUGACUGGUGUCUGGGGGUAUAGCUCGAUUUUCAUCGGAUCUGUUGGUAGGCAGGCACAAGUUCCUCUAUGGCUGUGGUUCUAGCAAUCUAUUUGUGAUAGUAGUUGCUUGUUGGUACAUUAAGUUCAUAUGUGUCUCAACUAAUAGUAGUUGCUUGCUCUCUUAAUGUUUGGGGUCUAG